AGUACAGGCAGGGGAGACGAGGUGGGGAGCCGGUGGCAUUGUCCAGACAAGCGAUGACAGUGACUUGGAUUAGGGCGGCAGCAGAGGAGGUUGGCGACAGUGCUCAGACCUGAGAUGCACUUAAGAAUAAGCAAGGGUGCCUUGUAAGGUUUUGGCCUGAGCAACUGGAUGGUGGUGGUUUUAUUUACUGAGAUGGAGGCAGCUCAGUGGGGAUUUGAGCGUGGGGAAAGCGCAACCAUAUUCUUCAGGCGAGUCAUGUGUGAGCACCGUUCAGCACUCCAGCGGGGCUGCGCGGGAGCCUGUUGGCGCUCCAUCUGUGCUCCCGGGAGAGGUCUGGGCUAGAGGGAGAAGUGUGAGAGUCAGCAGCUUGGAGGCAGCGUUUAAAAUCCUGGGCCUGGAUGACAUUCCUGAGGGGGUUGUAGAGAUAGAGUGCUGUGCUUUCGAGGCACCCCGACAUCUGCAGGGUGAUGGGGCCGGCGGGGAGGGCACGGGAGACACAGGAGGAAGAGCCAGGGAGUGGGGAGUAAAGCAGGCAGCUCAAAAGCCGGAAACAUGGGGCGUGGCUUAGGAGCAAAUGACAGCUGCUGAGAACAUCAGGAAGACAAGGCCAGGACGUUGACCACUGGCUUUGAGAUUGGAAAGAGUCAUUUCAGAGGAGUAGGAGGAUGGCAGGCUGAUGGUGGUGAGAAGAGGAGCCAGCCCGAGCAGGCAGUGCUUGCGGGAGCUCUGCUGUAGAGAAUGGGGAAACAGGAUGGUGGUUGGAGGGAGGUGUGGGAUGAAGAGAGGGAUUUUUUUUUUUCUUUUUGUGAGACAGAGUCUCACUCUGUUGCCCAGGCUGGAGUACAGUGGCGUGAUCUCGGCUCACUGCAACCUCUGCCACCUGGUUUCAAGCAAUUCUUCUUCCUCAGCCUCCUGAGUGGUUGAGAUUACAGGCGCUUGCUACCGUGCCUGGCUAAUUUUUGUAUUUUUAGAAAAGUAGAGAUGGGGUUUCACCAUCUUGGUCAGGCUGGUCUUGAACUUCUGACCUUGCGAUCCACCCAGGAUCCCGAGCCUCGGCCUCCCAAAGUGCUGGGAUUACAGGCGUGAGUCACUGUGCCUGGCCGAUGAGAACGUUUUUAAGUCCUUUGUUACCUGCUGUUAAAUUGCUUCCCAGAAAAGCAGUCCCAAAUCAGUGUGACCAGCUGAGUUUGAGGAUGCUCCUUGUCUGAAAUUCAUAGAAUUGUGACCUCCAACCACACAAUCUUGAACUAAAUCAGACCAUUUAGAUGUAUUUUGUUUAACAAAAGGAGAAAAGAAUGUGUUUAACAAUGUUUUGCAAAAGCUGUAUUUCUAGCAGAAAAAAUGUGAACGUCAGGCUGGAAAAAUAUGAAGUUAAUAACAGUUUGUCAAAGGCUAG
This 1396-nucleotide long non-coding RNA is filed under the name Macaca mulatta (Rhesus monkey). Its description in RNAcentral is "lncRNA (ENSMMUG00000052475.1)". Lineage: Eukaryota; Metazoa; Chordata; Mammalia; Primates; Cercopithecidae. The record is from RNAcentral.